CCUUCUUCCACCAACGAUGUGGAGAUCCAAAUCCAAUUAAAACCAGGACACUCAAAAAGAUGCUCUGUAAAAGAGUAGAAUUCUUGGAACAGAGUUUAAUACACUGAAUCAUAUGAACAGCAGGAAAAAUACAUACAGACAUUUAGCAAGAAAAUUACAGAGCAGAAAACAAGCAAAGCAAAACCCCGGGGUGUACAGCCUUAAGCACAGACAGCAGAGCAACACAGAGACGGACAGGUAGCAGCAGCAGGAGGAAAAAGAGCCCUGGGGGCGUCCUCUGGUCCCCUAAUAUAGGGACCAGUGUCGCCGCCCCCUGCUGCUGGGUAACUUUCCCACACGCCCAGCACAGCUGCUGGGGUCAGGUAGCGACCAGAGUUCACACCUGGCGCUGGCUGAGGGCCCGGUCCAAAGUGACACCAAUAGGUUAACCCUUUGCUUUACCCUCUGACAAUAGGUCACAACAUGGUCAAAGGUCACACAUUAAUCCUAAUUAUUAAAUCUUAUACAGCAAGUGGCACAAUCUUAUAACAUAUAAUACACAGGUUACAUGCUUAAAAACACUUCAGUGUGGGUUCAGAGUGUGUGUGUGUGUGUGUGUGUGUGUGUGUGUGUGUGUGUAUUUUGUAUGAUAUUUUAUCGUGAUGUGUUCAGGAUCUCUAUUACAAUGUUACUGUUUUGGUUGUGCUGCAUUAAAGACGUUAAAUUAAUUAAUUAUUAAGUAAAUUAUUCAAGAGAACUCUCACCCUACAUUAACUGCCCUGUUACUGUACCAACUUAAUAAACCUCGGUGAAGCAAAAUGUCUUGUGCUUAAGACUCUACAUGAAAGUUAAAAUAUAUAUGUUCAGUGCGCAUAGAUAUAUAGUGUAUAUAGUUACAUAGUUAUACAUAUCAAACAAAAAUCCACCACAUUCCCCCCUGUGGUACCUGGAGGUACCACCUAAAAAGACCCCAUGACUAAAGAAGAACAAAAAUUGUGAAAACUAAUGCGUGCGCUGUUUUUUUGCUAACAUAUUUUAAAGCAAGCUGUAAAUAGAACAUAAGAAUUUGUAUAAAGAUCCCACACAGUUAUUGCUCAAAUGAAUAAGCCCUUCCUUCCACCAAAACCCUCAUAGUCAUCAACAUAACAUUCUCCCAACAUUCCAUUUCUCUUAGUCAAUUAAUUUAAGACAAAUUGAUUCAUCUUCAUUUGCAAAUCAUACUACACAGUAUCCUUAACAGAAUACUCAAGAAACUUAAAAAUCAGCCUAAUUACAGGAAAAUGAAAGUAAGGCAUAAAACACAUCAGCAGAGACACAUAAUACAUACAUGGAUUACACAACACCAUAAGUGACAUUAAAAAUAACACGAUUAAACAAUUAAUUCCCAAUUUUGGAUUUCAUCUUGGUCAGGUGCAACUUCUUCUGAACAGACUUCUCAGUGUGGGCUUUGAAAUGUCCUUUGUUAGCUUCAAGGUUGACAUUUCUCUGCAGCAGCUUCAACCUUUACUCAACUUGUGUCCCUUUUUCAGUCCAUAUUUCAACCAAUUUAUGAGUCCGAGAAAAGUCUCUCUUGGUACUUCUUGACUGCUGGAUCUUGCAUACCUUCUAAGAAUACUCGAGACGACUUGGUUCUACUCUUGAUUAAAGUCAGGGUUGGCGAUGGGUAGUAGUUGAUCUUGCACAUCCAUCAUUCGGAAGCUGGUUUGGGCACUGUACGGCUCCACCUGGGCUGUAGGCUCUGCAGCAGAUUCAACAGCUACUGGAUGGGUCAUGGUUCAGCUGUCUGGAGCAGCCUGUUUCACUCCGUUGUCCCCUCGCACUCGUCAUCAGAUUGCCAGCACCUGCUCCAGGACCUCUGCAUCUCCAUCUGUUAUCCAGAUGCCAUCUCCACCUGCAGAAAGAUAACUUCGCAGACUGCAUUAGUUUUGUUCACAGUUAGCAAUACAGGCCCUUUAUGAGGACUUAUCUAUGGACAUUUGUGAGUAUGCCAUGCAGUGUUAGUUGUUGUAGUCUUGUUAGUUCACAACUGCAUGCACCUUAGUACUAGAGUUAAUAUUUGUACCCAGUUGACCUCUUCCUUAACAAAUUCCAAUUCAUUGCUUUAUUUUGUGGAGUACUUUGAAAUGUUUGUCUCAAAUGCUGUUAUAAACAGAAAGCUUUACUUAUCUUUACCUAGCUAUCAAUUUAGGAAGUGCAUAGUAAAGCUCUAACAUGUUGUUUCAUUUAGGUAUUAAUGUGUCUGUUUUCUGGUGAUCAAGACAUCUAAUCACAGCCACAGGACUAGUGAGCUUUAGGGCGACUACUAGCUGGGUUAUUGCCUCUUCAUAUUUAUAAGCUGAAUUUGGAUAAACAUUAACUCUGUUACCGGCUGCCAAUUCACAAUUCAUCAUUAGCACUGUUAGCCCAAAACUUAGCGUUGCUGGCUAUAUGGCUGAUCAAACUUCCCACACCUCUAUAGCCGCCGAAUUGGAAUUUUCAAAGCUAAGUUAGACAAUGCCACAUUGACCACACAGUUCUUCCUAUUGGCAGUAGUUAAACCAUCACUCAAAAACCAUCACUUGACCUAACUGUCCUAGCCAAUUAUAGGCCUCCAACUUUCCUUUAUGUCAAAAAUCCCCACAAGAGAUGCUGUAAAAUAGCCACAGAGGAAUGCCUUAUUUAAAGAGUUUCAGUCAGGUUUCAGAGCACAUCACAGCACAGAAACAGCUUUGAUGAAAGUUAAAAAUGAUCUUCUUAAGGCCUCUGACAGUGGAUUGAUCUCUAUGUUCGACACUUGUGACCAUAACAUGUUAUUCUAAGAAUCCUCCCACAUACACAAGACUAACCAUUGAGCUUCACAAGGUUUCGCACCAGGAUCUAUUUCUAUUUACAUAACACGUGCCUCCUUCAGGUAACACCACAAAAGACACAACAUACCUCUGCCGUGCUGAUGACACCCUCUCUCUCAUUCAUCCAUGAAGCCAAACACCACACACCUGUCAGUCAACCUAAAGGAAUGCUCUGAAUGGCAUUACCUUGGUCUCCAUUAACACUGUGAGGUUUCCAUGAGUUAUUUUUAUCCCAAUAUGUGCUAAUAUGCGAAUAUUAAGGACUGCUUUCUUCAAUUUCUGCAAUAUCUCUAAAGUCCUGUCCCAGAGUGAUGCUGAAAGACAAAUUCAUGCAUUUAUUACUUCUAGGCUGUCCUUUUAUCAUUAUCAGGUUGUGGUCAACUACAUCAAAAUGUUGCACAUGAAUACUGAAAGGGACUAGAAUGACAGAGUAUAUUUCUCCUAUUGACUUUUCUUCAUAGGCUCCUUGUUAAAUCUGUUUUUUUAAUUACCAUCCUGCUCCUAUAGUACUGUAUCUCCCCACUUCACUCUCAAACUUUAAGCUUACUAGAAUAUUUAAAAGUAGAAUGGGAAGCCAGGCCUCCGGUUUUUAGGUCUCUCUUUUGAGUUAUUAUUAGUUAUUAUCAAUCUCUGGCUCUCCUACACAGCAUGUUUUUAGUCCUGUCUCCUCCUCCUUACUCAGCUGGUCACAGCAGAUGACCACUCCCCCCUGUGCCCAGUUCUACUGGGCAUUUAUUCCUGUUAAAAACGGAGUUCCUCCUCUCCAAGUUUCUUGCUAAAAGGGGGUCAGAUAAAUAAUCGUUUUGUAAUGUUUUAUUUUUGCAGUUUAUCCUUGGAUAAUAAAGUGCCCUUAAAUGACUGGCAUCAUAAUUUCAUACCUGUUCAACCUUGAGUUGAAUAAUAUACAGCUUGACAGCCUUUGUUCUUAUAGAAAAGUCGCCAUUGAAAAGCUAAAACAGCUGUAUUAGACUAAUAAAAAACUUUUCUCAGCCAUGCAUGGAUUGUUUAUAGACAGUAAUCAUAAGAAAUUCCCUAACUGUAAUCUUGUUACACAUUUUGGUGGUGGACUCUGAGGCAGACAAUUACUUCACACCCCAUUUUCCUUAACUUGAGUGAUAGUAAAUUAUGAACCGUAAAUAAUACAUGUAACUGGUGUUAUGUUUACAAUACACCUGGAUGGCCAUGAGGAACAUUGAGACCUCCUGAAAAACAAGCAGUUCUAGUUGCAGGGUUAAAGGUCUACUUCAACAGUUUGUAAAUUUGGAUUUUACUAGGUCAGUAGUUGCUCACCUAUGAAGGUUUAAUCAUGCUGACUCAACUCUGCCUUACCUUAAUCUUCCCAGUUUGCCCCAUACCAAUGGAAUGUUCUUCUCUUUCCUUUUGGUUGCCAAGUGCCCGGUCAGACUGCAUGUCCCUCCUCAGUGCUUCAAACUCUACCUCUUCACACUGUAACUAGAAUAGAACUAGAAUAGAGUCAUUUAGCUAUGCAGUUUUUGCUAGAGUAAGCAUUUGAGUAAUUUAAAUAUGUCAAUCCACAGACAACUGGACCCUGCCACACACAGGAAAGCUAAUUUAGGCCCCAUUUUUCUAAUUUGAGGUUUGCAUUUUUUACAGGGGAUCAGGCUUUAGCCUCUUUCCCUCCAAAAUAUCUGAUAAUUUAGAUUUUCUCCUAAAUUUUUGGUUUUUUUUUUUUUGGUUCAUUCCUUGGGAGAGUUAACAAUUUAGCUCUGCUAAGCUAUAUGUUCCCCCCUUUUCCCAAUGCAGUUAAGAUUAUGACAGAAUCCUUCGCUGCUUUCUCCUCCACACUGCAUUCAUUUUUAUUUUUAUUUUGUUUGAAAGUAACUACAAAUUGCUCACACACUCAAUUAUAGCACUGUGGAUAGUUUAGUGCUGCACGUUUAGAGCUAGCAUCUUACUAUUAGCUUCAACACAUGAACUGAGGUAGCUGCCACUGGUCUAUAUGUAGCUGCACUGAAAAAGAUAAAAGACAGAUUAUUUUUCAUAUCUGCAUACAGAUUUACACAUAUGUACACAUUUGCACCCACACAGUUACAUACAUGUCAGGGGGAUACCCAAGAGCAGUGUACCAGGGUCAGAAACAGCAGAUGUUUAAAUUUCUCAUUUCAUGUUACCAGGGAUUCUGAGUUUCAUCAGUACCCCAACUUUUAGUAAAUCCCCAUGUGUACGUUUCAUCCCUUCAAUAAUGCAAUGCUCAUAAGGUGAUUAAUAACUUCUCUAAGUUUACUUAUCUGUCCCAUACCCUACUGGGGUUCUAAUGCUCUGUGUGUAUCUGUUCUAGUGUCAGUGAGAGUCAUGUCUGCACCCUUUAUGUAUUAAACUAUCCUAACCUUAAAUAAUAUUCUAAUGUAAGAGUGUUAGUAAUGAAUAUAUUUUUAAUAAUCUCCUAUCUAAUGCUUUCAUGUGGCCUAGUUCUUAUUAUUUGUGUUCUUUUUCUACUGGGAGAGUAACACAAGGAGUGGAGCCCAGGGCUUUAAACUUAUUAGUUUGUUGGGAGCAUUACUGAUGCAGCUGCUUCAUGUUGUUCACUGCAGAUAUCAUGGAUAGUUAGGUACUCUGGUAUCAGUCACAGUCCAUGUACUGAAGAUUUCUCUUGGCAGUAACUUCCUUGUUGUUAUGGUGCUGCCCACAUUCCUCUCGGAGUUCUCCAGGAACAUCCACACAGAGAACAUCCCAGAUGCUGACGAUGUUGGCUCGUAGAGGCCAUCGAUUGUCAGUCCUCAGCAGAUUGAUGAGUAUGUCAGCUGACUAAAAGUGUGUUUUAAUACACUUUUCCAGCCCUCUGCAGAUAGAGUCUUUCAUUAGACUCGAGGAGACUCAGUUUCAUGAAUUGUGGAUCUUCACUUGGACCCUCCUCUCUGCAGUUCCUGGGCUUUCACAUGUGCCAACCAUUGGAUGUCGUCAUACAGCUGACUCCUCCUCUCCACCCUUGUACAGGCCUCAUCAGUGACAUAGGCCUUCGCAGUGCCAGUGUUGCUCUACUCCACAGGCUCAUGGCCUGGUGUCUUUCACUGGUGCUCUGUGUUUCUCCCCUUCAGUUGGUGAGCUCCUUCAUCUGUAAGGAGUUAUUUCCUUCUUUUUUUUUUUUUCAUAGCAGGAGAGUCAUUGUUUCGAGUAUGUGCAUACAUCAGUUAGUUAGUAACUGUUUUCAUUUGCUCCACCUUUUUUUUUCCCUUUUGCCUGUGAGCUCGACCUCAUGUUACUCUUCAUUAUCUUACUCCUGGUCUUUGAAUUCUCCUAUUUAGCGUCCUUUCCUCUGACUCACAACUGUCUUUGUCCCACCUGUCCUACAUCUCUGACUUUCUCGUGUUUACCUCUCCUCCUCUAAGCCAUAAUCACUUUUGUCGUGGUUUUUUUAAUACAAAGGCUCAAAUUUUGAUUUCUCCUUAUUGCAUUUUAGGUCAAUGUGUUUUCUUUCUAAUCACCAGCUUUUGCUGGAACAAAGGCUAUGUCAUCCCCUCCAAACCCUGCUCCUGUGUAUCUCCACCUGCAUGAUGCACACUGCUUAUUCAGGGAGCUUAGAUUUAGCAGAGAUUUAUCUAUAUUUGCUUUUAUUUUUCUUGUAAAACUAAAACAAGAUCAUAGGGGCUUUAUUAUCAUAUACAACAGUUUUAUGUUUUUCUGCCCAACUUUCCUGUAAGUGACAAGAUGCAGCUGUGGGAUCAACCCCAUCACUAUUCAAAACCCUGAUUACUGAAACAAUUACCCCCAAAUUUUGUCACAAUACCUAUUAAACUUGACAAAUUAAAAACAAUAUUAAUUUUGCAUAUGUAAGAAUUACCAUAUUGCAUUUGCUAAAGACAGCAUUUUGCAAGUUAUUCCUUAAAUGUAUAAAGUUCAAUUUAUUUAUUUAUUUACUUUCUUGGAUGGUAAAAAUCACUCUGAUGUUUUGGGACUCUUAAAACUUAAAUAUUUCCUGAUUCAAGCCUGACACUCGAGGCCCCAAAGGGUUAAGGCCCUCUUAUGUCACGCACCUCUGAAGCUCUUCUAAAUGUUAUUUCUCUUAUAGCUAUAGAAGAAGGAUUACACACAGUCUGACCAGCAUCAAGGCGAGUGUUUUAGAUACCAAUGAUCCCUUUAUUAAUCCCUUCCCCCAUACAAUAUCUAAUCAUGCUUUUUAUUUAUUGAUCAGCAUUUCUAAUGAUCCACAGCUGCAGGUUAACCAGCCAUGCAUCCCACAAUUUUAUUUCUGUUAUUUCAUUUCCCAGCCAAAUAUUCUUUUUCUUUAGAUUUAAACUUUUUAUUUUUUUCUAAAGUGCUCAGGUGUAAUCACUUUGCAUUCAUUCCUACUCUUCCUCUUACUUUACUAUUACACUUAAUGGAAUUAUUUAUCAUAUCUUUCUAAUUACUGUCUUGUUAUUGUUACCAUAACACUCUAAUCAGUUUUCAUUGUAUUUAGGCUUUUUGUUUACUCACUGAAUUAUAUUAUUCUCAAUUCUUUCCACUACUUCUCUACUGUUAUGUCUUAUGCCCCUCUGUCAUUCAGUUCUGUCUUACUUCCCUGUUCUUAUUUUAAUAGUUUAUUAUAUUUAUUUUAAUUUACCUGAGAACCAGUUUACUGGCCUUAUCAUUUUCGUCCCAAGUGUUUAAUUUAAUAUUUUAUUCUCAAAUUUAGAGCUUCUUUCUUCCUGUUCCUCACUCUAAUGGGCACUAUUCUUUUUUACAUUUUUUGUUGUUUUUUGUUCAUAGUACUCAGCAUUUGAUCACUUGUUUAAGCAUCUUCACUGAUGUGGGACCUAAAAUUUACAAACAAGUUACAUCUUUUUCUUUUUCUGUUUUAAGCAAACAAUUUUGCUUCCUGUCUCAGAUGACUCCUCUGAGCUUCGCACAAGCUCACCAUAACAAUAACCUCUUUGAGACAUGCACUUCAGUCUUUUACUCUUCUUCUCACACACUCGCAUUUGGCUUAGAUCGUUUCAAAGCCUGUGCACUGGUCAAGGACACUCUUGGCAGGAUGUCGGGGCCCACCCCACACACUCCACAGUCAGAGCAACUUGAGCCAGCUACACCCUGUGACGGUGUUUACAGGCCGCCUCCUGCAGCAGCGGCUCAGCUGAUGUGAGCUCUCUCAGUACAACACUCAACAGGCGCUAAACUUUACUUUAAAUUGUUAAGUCACAAUCUCUGACUUAUUAAACCACCAUUUCCAACAAAACUUUUCUAUUUCACUUCACUAUAACCUGUCUACCUUCUUUUCUCUUCCCAACUACUUAUUUGUGACGGCAGCAUUUUAAACAGAUCUCUAGGUGUCUCUUUUUGUUAAUUUGUUCAUUAUUCGUCCUCAUUACCGCUUCACCCCACAUGUCAGCCUGUUUAUUCUGAACUCCUCUAAGCUUCACACAAUGUAUUUCCAACAAUCAUUCAUUUCACAUCAUAUUACUCAGGUGCCUCUUGCACUCUCUGUAUGCUUUUGGGUGAGUUUAUGACCCCUCGGCAGAACUCUCUACAACAAGCAAAACUUCAUUAUUUACUUCUCUUGCACUCCUCUUUGGUGAGUGAUAACAAACCCUCAAUAAACAUUUCACAUGCAAACUCUGAGACAUUAUUAGAUUCUUUUACAACUCCUGCAUUUUACUGAGAUCGAUUUAUGGAUGCUGUUUUGACUCUCUUAUCUUCAUUGUUGCCCAAACAUGUUCUUAUUUAUUUAGUCUCUAUCUCUCGUUCCGUACUAAGAUGUUCAGAUGUUCUUAGAUCAUCACCACUGCCUUCUAUAUUUCUCCAAACACAGCACAGACCUCCCUAUUUCAUUUAUUAUUUGUUUGUGUGAUUUAUUUAAUUUCCUUCUAAUUAUUUUAGUUUUAUCCCAGCUAUGUUUUAUUAUUAGAAUUAGUUUAUAGUUCUCAUUCUUACUGUUAUUAGUUUGGAUAUGUUAUAAUUUAGCUCUAGGUUAGGUUAUCCUUUUUUAUUUUACUUUAGUCAAGCAGCUCUAUUUCCAAUUUAUUUAACUUUUGGUCAUACUUUUAUUAAGCUAAUAAUCCAAAAAAAGUGCCUGCAAUCCCUAUUUACUCAUUAUCCCUAUUUUGGCAAUUAAUAUCUUCUUUUACUGAAAUUUACCCACAAAUCUUCCAACUUACUUCAUGUUGCUGCUUGACAAAUAUUUUUUCUACAGAUCUUUCUGUUUAAAUUCCUUAAACAACAGCAUUAUUUUUCAGCGGCAGUGUCUAUUUUCCUCUUUAUAUUCAACCACUCUUAAUUUUUUGCAGACUUAUCUCUUUUAACUGCUCUGAUGCUCCUCUCACUCCUCCACAUACCUUAGGGAUGAGUCACAAACUGCCUGCAGACACAGCGCUCUGCAGCACAGUGAACUCAAGUUUUUUUUAGUCACUCAAAUCAGUCACUCUACAACUUUUUACUUAGUUACCUACUAACUUCCCAUUUUUCUUAUUUAUUUAUCAAAACCCACCCCUUACGCGUAUUCCUCUUAUUUACAGCAAGAGUUAUUUUAAGCAAUAUUUACAGCAAUACAUUGUUAUACUCUAGACUACUACUUAGCAAUAUUUACAGCAGCGAUUAUACUUAAGGGUUAGUAACAGCUAUUUACAUAUUUACACUUGGGCCGAAGGUGUCGCCUUUCAUUCCGCGACGCGCGCAGUUACCCAGCGUGUCCAGACCGGUGGACUCGAAAGCCCUCAGAUCCCUACUGUGAGCCCCAAGUCCCCGCGUUACUGGCUAGGAAUUUAUCCCCAAAAAUCCCCCAAAGCCCGAGCAGUCCUGACUACCUAGCAAUUCACUUGGGUUAACCAGGUUAACCAAUUAAAUGGUUAACCUAGUUAGCCUGUGUCACCUUAUCUACCUAAAUGGAUAACUAGGUUUCCAGCGGUAACCACCUUGGGGGUGCCGACAUAUAUUUCACUUUUCAUCACUUUUAUCACUUUUCAUCACUUCAACUUUUUACUUCUGCGUAACUUACGCCUAUUCUUCAGAUGCACUAAAGAAUAGCGGAAAAAUAAACCCAAACUCCCCCAACACAGUCCUGGAGUCAUACUCCAGCACAGGGCAGAGCAGCCUUUCACACACACAAACCCCAAAUACGCACACACACAGCGCUCACUCACACUUCCCCCGCGGGUCACACAAGUUACAGGAAUAACACACACACAUAUGAUGCAGUAUUAAACUCCACUCCUUCAGCAUCCGCAACUAGCAUUAUUUUUACAGUGUAACACUUUAUCACUUAGAAUAACAGCGACCAUUUGAUUAAAGUCCUUUUCAAGGUUAGAGCAGAAAACAAGCAAAGCAAAACCCCGGGGUGUACAGCCUUAAGCACAGACAGCAGAGCAACACAGAGACGGACAGGUAGCAGCAGCAGGAGGAAAAAGAGCCCUGGGGGCGUCCUCUGGUCCCCUAAUAUAGGGACCAGUGUCGCCGCCCCCUGCUGCUGGGUAACUUUCCCACGCGCCCAAACACAGCUGCUGGGGUCAG
Molecule: long non-coding RNA, 10247 nt
Organism: Oreochromis aureus
Lineage: Eukaryota; Metazoa; Chordata; Actinopteri; Cichliformes; Cichlidae
Source: Ensembl